GAUGAAGAACGUAGCGAAAUGCGAUAAGUAAUGUGAAUUGCAGAAUUCAGUGAAUCAUCGAAUCUUUGAACGCACAUUGCGCCCCCUGGUAUUCCGGGGGGCAUGCCUGUUCGAGCGUCAUUUCACCACUCAAGCCUCGCUUGGUAUUGGGCAACGCGGUCCGCCGCGUGCCUCAAAUCGACCGGCUGGGUCUUCUGUCCCCUAAGCGUUGUGGAAACUAUUCGCUAAAGGGUGUUCGGGAGGCUACGACGUAAAACAACCCCAUUUCUAAGGUUGACCUCGGAUCAGGUAGGGAUACCCGCUGAACUUAAGCAUAUCAAUAAGCGGAGGA
RNAcentral lists this unclassified non-coding RNA (331 nucleotides) under soil metagenome. RNAcentral describes it as "partial contains 5.8S ribosomal RNA, internal transcribed spacer 2, and large subunit ribosomal RNA". The stretch from base 1 to 120 matches the Rfam family "5.8S ribosomal RNA", at positions 35 to 154 of the family's 154-position model. The record is from RNAcentral.